AAAGAUUUAGUUAAAAUUAUAACCUUAGAAUGUCAAACUAAAAUUAUCCAUAGAUAAUCUUUU
RNAcentral lists this transfer RNA (63 nucleotides) under Prolachesilla sp. PrspLA. Its description in RNAcentral is "tRNA-Asp". The record is from RNAcentral. Lineage: Eukaryota; Metazoa; Arthropoda; Insecta; Psocodea; Lachesillidae.